AUUUUCCCACCCCAAACCCCUUUAUUCUAGAUAGUCUUUUAUUUUUCUCCCACUUCCACAGAACUCUCUUUCAAAGGGUUUUAUUUUUCUCUUUCAAAACAACAAUGACGAUUCUAGAACAAUGGUGAUUUUCUCUUUCAAAGCAACAAUCACGAAUUUUCAACACUUCGAGACUUCGAUUCCGUUACCAUUCUCGCUCACAGGUUCUUCAACAUUUAAGCAAAAGUCAAGCAUCUUCCUAGUGAAAAGAUAAAAAUAAAGAUGAAAUGAAGGCUAGGUGCUGCUGCUAUAAGAUCAUCAGAUGAUUCACAAAAAGUUCAAGAACUCGAUAUAAAUCGCAUAUACUUGGAUGUUGUGGAUGGAGAGAAAAAAUGAUGUGUGUAUGGAUUGGGCUCUCAAGCUUUGACUUUGUAUCAACAUUGUAAUUCUGCCACUUCACGCAAUAUAGUGAUUGAUCAUGUUGCUGAAGAGCGCAUCAAAUUACUUGAGGAAGAGAUGUUGUGGAUGAAAGAAAAUCAAGAGAGGAUUCUUUAGGAGCGUGUAGAGGCGGAAGUGCAACAACGCGUAGAGAUGGAGGUCUCGGAUCGGUUUAAGUCUAUGGAGGAUCGAUGGUCUCACAUGAUGAAUGAGAUGGCGUUAUCUUCUCGCUCAUCUGAUAAUCCUACUCUCCCUAACAUGGACUCACAAAUGCUUAAGUGUUUAACAUUUUAGACUUUGGUUAGUUGGAUAUUCUAAGUGUUGUUUUCAACGUUGUCAGACUUUUGUUAGUUGGAUGCUUUGUAAGUUUAAAAUAUUUUGUAGACUUUUGCUUAUUGAAGUUGUGUAUUUGCGUGUUUUAACUUUAGGUUUUUGUAUUAUAAAUUUAAUAUUAUGUUUGUUA
This is a long non-coding RNA of Lycium barbarum (goji berry), 880 nucleotides long. RefSeq lists it as uncharacterized. Lineage: Eukaryota; Viridiplantae; Streptophyta; Magnoliopsida; Solanales; Solanaceae. The record is from RefSeq and is a predicted model, not a curated record. The transcript is spliced from 3 exons.